RNAcentral lists this ribosomal RNA (691 nucleotides) under Teichococcus ruber. RNAcentral describes it as "bacterial SSU rRNA". It matches the Rfam family "Bacterial small subunit ribosomal RNA", at positions 39 to 776 of the family's 1533-position model. The record is from RNAcentral. Lineage: Bacteria; Pseudomonadati; Pseudomonadota; Alphaproteobacteria; Acetobacterales; Roseomonadaceae.
GCGGCAUGCUUAACACAUGCAAGUCGCACGGGCAGCAAUGUCAGUGGCGGACGGGUGAGUAACGCGUAGGGAAGUGUCCAGAGGUGGGGGACAACCCCGGGAAACUGGGGCUAAUACCGCAUAUGGCCUGAGGGCCAAAGCAGUGAUGCGCCUUUGGAGUUACCUGCGUCCGAUUAGCUAGUUGGUGGGGUAAAGGCCUACCAAGGCGACGAUCGGUAGCUGGUCUGAGAGGACGACCAGCCACACUGGGACUGAGACACGGCCCAGACUCCUACGGGAGGCAGCAGUGGGGAAUAUUGGACAAUGGGCGCAAGCCUGAUCCAGCAAUGCCGCGUGGGUGAAGAAGGUCUUCGGAUCGUAAAGCCCUUUCGGCGGGGACGAUGAUGACGGUACCCGCAGAAGAAGCCCCGGCUAACUUCGUGCCAGCAGCCGCGGUAAUACGAAGGGGGCUAGCGUUACUCGGAAUUACUGGGCGUAAAGGGCGCGUAGGCGGCGUUCCAAGUUAGGCGUGAAAGUCCUGGGCUCAACCUGGGAACUGCGCUUAAGACUGGAGUGCUAGAGGAUGGAAGAGGGUUGUGGAAUUCCCAGUGUAGAGGUGAAAUUCGUAGAUAUUGGGAAGAACACCGGUGGCGAAGGCGGCAACCUGGUCCAUUACUGACGCUGAGGCGCGAUAGCGUGGGGAGCAAACAGG